AGGACGAACGCUGGCGGCGUGCUUAACACAUGCAAGUCGAGCGGAAAGGCCCUUCGGGGUACUCGAGCGGCGAACGGGUGAGUAACACGUGAGUAAUCUGCCCCUAGCUCUGGGAUAGCUCCGGGAAACCGGGAUUAAUACCAGAUACGACCACUUUAGACAUCUUCUGUGGUGGAAAGAACUUCGGCUAGGGAUGAACUCGCGGCCUAUCAGCUUGUUGGUGAGGUAACGGCUCACCAAGGCGACGACGGGUAGCCGGCCUGAGAGGGCGACCGGCCACACUGGGACUGAGACACGGCCCAGACUCCUACGGGAGGCAGCAGUGGGGAAUAUUGCGCAAUGGGCGAAAGCCUGACGCGGCGACGCCGCGUGGGGGAUGAAGGCCUUCGGGUUGUAACCCCUUUCAGCAGGGACGAAGCGAAAGUGACGGUACCUGCAGAAGAAGCGCCGGCUAACUACGUGCCAGCAGCCGC
This 473-nucleotide ribosomal RNA is filed under the name uncultured bacterium. RNAcentral's name for it is "SSU rRNA". It matches the Rfam family "Bacterial small subunit ribosomal RNA", at positions 26 to 518 of the family's 1533-position model. The record is from RNAcentral.